AGUGGGGGAUAACUAGCCGAAAGGUUAGCUAAUACCGCAUACGAUCUACGGAUGAAAGUGGGGGACCUUCGGGCCUCAUGCUUUUGGAGCGGCCGAUAUCUGAUUAGCUAGUUGGUAGGGUAAAGGCCUACCAAGGCGACGAUCAGUAGCUGGUCUGAGAGGACGACCAGCCACACUGGGACUGAGACACGGCCCAGACUCCUACGGGAGGCAGCAGUGGGGAAUUUUGGACAAUGGGCGCAAGCCUGAUCCAGCAAUGCCGCGUGAGUGAAGAAGGCCUUCGGGUUGUAAAGCUCUUUUGUCAGGGAAGAAACGGCUGCGGCUAAUAUCCGCGGCUAAUGACGGUACCUAAGAAUAAGCACCGGCUAA
This 369-nucleotide ribosomal RNA is filed under the name uncultured bacterium. Its description in RNAcentral is "bacterial SSU rRNA". It matches the Rfam family "Bacterial small subunit ribosomal RNA", at positions 135 to 500 of the family's 1533-position model. The record is from RNAcentral.